Molecule: ribosomal RNA, 158 nt
Filed under: Aspergillus varians
Lineage: Eukaryota; Fungi; Ascomycota; Eurotiomycetes; Eurotiales; Aspergillaceae
Description: 5.8S ribosomal RNA
Rfam family: 5.8S ribosomal RNA
About the family: 5.8S ribosomal RNA (5.8S rRNA) is a component of the large subunit of the eukaryotic ribosome. It is transcribed by RNA polymerase I as part of the 45S precursor that also contains 18S and 28S rRNA.
Source: RNAcentral
AAACUUUCAACAAUGGAUCUCUUGGUUCCGGCAUCGAUGAAGAACGCAGCGAACUGCGAUAAUUAAUGUGAAUUGCAGAAUUCAGUGAAUCAUCGAGUCUUUGAACGCACAUUGCGCCCCCUGGCAUUCCGGGGGGCAUGCCUGUCCGAGCGUCAUUG